AAGAUAUGCUUUCACUGAGUCAAUAAAAUGGAAGUCUUUUGUAAAUGUCUGGCUAACCCCUUCCAAUAAACCCUGCAGAAGCUCAAGAGAUAAAAUGCGAGUCUUGGUUGUGACUUCAUCAGUGUCCUCCUUCAUUCCCAUCUUGCAAAGGGUGCGAAAUACCAGUAGAGCAUCACGUUGAACAAUGUUCACACUCUCCAGAUCAAUCCCUCGUGACAUCUUUUUACCAUCUUCAAUAUGAACAGCUUUGUCAAGAACAGCUUCUAAACCCUUGAUAU
This 278-nucleotide unclassified non-coding RNA is filed under the name Hevea brasiliensis (rubber tree). The record is from RNAcentral. Lineage: Eukaryota; Viridiplantae; Streptophyta; Magnoliopsida; Malpighiales; Euphorbiaceae.